Molecule: ribosomal RNA, 501 nt
Filed under: uncultured bacterium
Lineage: Bacteria
Description: partial 16S ribosomal RNA
Rfam family: Bacterial small subunit ribosomal RNA
Source: RNAcentral
AUUGAACGCUGGCGGCAGGCUUAACACAUGCAAGUCGAGCGGAGCGAGGGUGCUUGCACCUUAGCUUAGCGGCGGACGGGUGAGUAAUGCUUAGGAAUCUGCCUAUUAGUGGGGGACAACAUUCCGAAAGGAAUGCUAAUACCGCAUACGCCCUACGGGGGAAAGCGGGGGAUCUUCGGACCUUGCGCUAAUAGAUGAGCCUAAGUCGGAUUAGCUAGUUGGUGGGGUAAAGGCCUACCAAGGCGACGAUCUGUAGCGGGUCUGAGAGGAUGAUCCGCCACACUGGGACGGAGACACGGCCCAGACUCCUACGGGAGGCAGCAGUGGGGAAUAUUGGACAAUGGGCGGAAGCCUGAUCCAGCCAUGCCGCGUGUGUGAAGAAGGCCUUUUGGUUGUAAAGCACUUUAAGCGAGGAGGAGGCUACUUAGAUUAAUACUCUGGGAUAGUGGACGUUACUCGCAGAAUAAGCACCGGCUAACUCUGUGCCAGCAGCCGCAGUAA